This 498-nucleotide ribosomal RNA is filed under the name uncultured bacterium. RNAcentral's name for it is "partial 16S ribosomal RNA". It matches the Rfam family "Bacterial small subunit ribosomal RNA", at positions 899 to 1397 of the family's 1533-position model. The record is from RNAcentral.
ACUCAAAUGAAUAGACGGGGACCCGCACAAGCGGUGGAGCAUGUGGUUUAAUUCGACGCAACGCGAAGAACCUUACCUGGACUAGAAUGCGCGGGAAGCUUGGUUAACGCCAAGCGUCCGGGAAACCGGACCCAAAGCAAGGUGCUGCAUGGCUGUCGUCAGCUCGUGUCGUGAGAUGUUGGGUUAAGUCCCGCAACGAGCGCAACCCUUAACUUUAGUUGCCAUCAUUAAGUUGGGAACUCUAAAGUGACUGCCGUUGAUAAAACGGAGGAAGGUGGGGAUGAUGUCAAGUCAUCAUGGCCUUUAUGUUCAGGGCUACACACGUGCUACAAUGGCCGGUACAAAACGUCGCAAUCCCGCAAGGGGGAGCCAAUCGCUAAAACCGGUCUCAGUUCGGAUUGAAGUCUGCAACUCGACUUCAUGAAGUUGGAAUCGCUAGUAAUCGCAAAUCAGCAUGUUGCGGUGAAUACGUUCCCGGGUCUUGCACACACCGCCCGU